RNAcentral lists this ribosomal RNA (885 nucleotides) under Fusarium avenaceum. Its description in RNAcentral is "partial large subunit ribosomal RNA". It matches the Rfam family "Eukaryotic large subunit ribosomal RNA", at positions 39 to 954 of the family's 3401-position model. The record is from RNAcentral. Lineage: Eukaryota; Fungi; Ascomycota; Sordariomycetes; Hypocreales; Nectriaceae.
CAUAUCAAUAAGCGGAGGAAAAGAAACCAACAGGGAUUGCCCUAGUAACGGCGAGUGAAGCGGCAACAGCUCAAAUUUGAAAUCUGGCUUUCGGGCCCGAGUUGUAAUUUGUAGAGGAUACUUUUGAUGCGGUGCCUUCCGAGUUCCCUGGAACGGGACGCCAUAGAGGGUGAGAGCCCCGUCUGGUUGGAUGCCAAAUCUCUGUAAAGUUCCUUCGACGAGUCGAGUAGUUUGGGAAUGCUGCUCUAAAUGGGAGGUAUAUGUCUUCUAAAGCUAAAUAUUGGCCAGAGACCGAUAGCGCACAAGUAGAGUGAUCGAAAGAUGAAAAGCACUUUGAAAAGAGAGUUAAAAAGUACGUGAAAUUGUUGAAAGGGAAGCGUUUAUGACCAGACUUGGACUUGGUUAAUCAUCUGGGGUUCUCCCCAGUGCACUUUUCCAGUUCAGGCCAGCAUCAGUUUUCGCCGGGGGAUAAAGGCUUCGGGAAUGUAGCUCUCUUCGGGGAGUGUUAUAGCCCGUUGUGUAAUACCCUGGUGGAGACUGAGGUUCGCGCUUCUGCAAGGAUGCUGGCGUAAUGGUCAUCAACGACCCGUCUUGAAACACGGACCAAGGAGUCGUCUUCGUAUGCGAGUGUUCGGGUGUCAAACCCCUACGCGUAAUGAAAGUGAACGCAGGUGAGAGCUUCGGCGCAUCAUCGACCGAUCCUGAUGUUCUCGGAUGGAUUUGAGUAAGAGCAUACGGGGCCGGACCCGAAAGAAGGUGAACUAUGCCUGUAUAGGGUGAAGCCAGAGGAAACUCUGGUGGAGGCUCGCAGCGGUUCUGACGUGCAAAUCGAUCGUCAAAUAUGGGCAUGGGGGCGAAAGACUAAUCGAACCUUCUAGUAGCUGG